RNAcentral lists this unclassified non-coding RNA (176 nucleotides) under uncultured Cordycipitaceae. Its description in RNAcentral is "sequence contains ITS2". Lineage: Eukaryota; Fungi; Ascomycota; Sordariomycetes; Hypocreales; Cordycipitaceae. The record is from RNAcentral.
CAACCCUCAAGCCCGAGUCUUCUCACGAGGAUAAAGGGCUUGGUGUUGGGGACCGGCAGCUCUCGCCGCCCCCUAAAACUAUUGGCGGCCCUUCGAGGCGACCUCUGCGUAGUAAUUUUCACCUCGCACUGGGAAGCUUGGAGCGGCCACGCCGUAAAACCCCCGACUUUUUAUAA